GACGAACGCUGGCGGCGUGCUUAACACAUGCAAGUCGAACGCCGAAGCUCAGCUUUUGUUGGGUGGAUGAGUGGCGAACGGGUGAGUAACACGUGAGUAACCUGCCUCCUUCUUUGGGAUAACGCCCGGAAACGGGUGCUAAUACUGGAUAUUCACUGGUCUUCGCAUGGGGGUUGGUGGAAAGGGUUUUUCUGGUGGGGGAUGGGCUCGCGGCCUAUCAGCUUGUUGGUGGGGUGAUGGCCUACCAAGGCUUUGACGGGUAGCCGGCCUGAGCGGGUGAACGGGAACAUAGGGACGGAGAAACGGCCCAGGCGCUGACGGGAGGCAGAAGUGGGGAAAAUGGGACAAAGGGUGCAAGACUGAUGCAGCGUCGGCGCGGGAGGGAUGCGGGCCUUCGGGUUGUGAACCUCUUUCGGACAUGGUCAAGCCGCAACAAUGGUUGUGGUGAGGGUAGUGGGUAAAGAAGCGCCGGCUAACUACGUG
Molecule: ribosomal RNA, 483 nt
Filed under: uncultured bacterium
Lineage: Bacteria
Description: partial 16S ribosomal RNA
Rfam family: Bacterial small subunit ribosomal RNA
Source: RNAcentral